CCUACGGGUGGCAGCAGUGAGGAAUAUUGGUCAAUGGGCGGGAGCCUGAACCAGCCAAGCCGCGUGAAGGAAGAAGGCGCCAGGCGUCGUAAACUUCUUUUGUCGGGGAACAAAGGGCGCCACGUGUGGCGUUGUGAGUGUACCCGAAGAAAAAGCAUCGGCUAACUCCGUGCCAGCAGCCGCGGUAAUACGGAGGAUGCGAGCGUUAUCCGGAUUUAUUGGGUUUAAAGGGUGCGUAGGCGGUCCGGAAAGUCAGCGGUAAAAGCCCGGGGCUCAACCCCGGCGAGCCGUUGAAACUGUCGGACUAGAGACGGCGAGAAGUACGCGGAAUGCGCGGUGUAGCGGUGAAAUGCUUAGAGAUCAUACAGAACACCGAUUGCGAAGGCAGCUUACCAAGCUACUUCUGACGUUGAGGCACGAAAGCGUGGGGAGCAAACAGGAUUAGAUACCCCAGUAGUC
Molecule: ribosomal RNA, 459 nt
Filed under: uncultured bacterium
Lineage: Bacteria
Description: partial 16S ribosomal RNA
Rfam family: Bacterial small subunit ribosomal RNA
Source: RNAcentral